GGAGCACUAUAUAUUGAUUAUAUCGAAUAAAAUUCUAAAUGUUUAUUGAUAAUGACGAUAAACAGAUUGAUGCCUUGACUAAUUACGUGCCAGCAGUCGCGGUAAUACGUAAGAGGCUAGUGUUAUUCAUCUUAAAUAGGUUUAAAGGGUACUUAGACGGUGAAAAUUUUCCUUUAUAAAGGUACAUUUUUACUAGAGUUUUAUGUGAGGAGGUAGUACUUGAGGUGUAGAGAUUAUAUUUGUUGAUACCUUAGGGACUGAUAAAGGCGAAGGCAACCUUUUAUGUAAAAACUGACGUUGAAGGACGAAGGCACAGAGAACGAACAGGAUGUGCGACCUGAAAGUCUUAAUUAAAAUAAUAUAACAUAUAAUAACUAUUAUAUGAUUAUACUUGUAUUUCAUUUUACAUGAGUCUAUCUAAAUAUGCGAAGAGGGUAACUUUUUGGUGUAAAGCUUUAGAGAUAAGUAAUUUUGAAUUAAAGUGCUAAAAUUACUGGCUUACUUCUAUGGUUAGAGAAAUUGAACCAAUGUAACUAAAAUUUUGUCUGCAGUUAUAUCUUCUAGAUGUAUAAGUAGGCUAUAGCAAUAUUGGGUAUAAUGCUAUAGUUAAUUAGGCAUUUAACGAGUCCUGGGUUAAAUGAAAAUGAACAAAUAAUUAGCAAAGUAAAGUUGGAACCUAAGGGAGUGUGUUUUAAUUAAGGAACAGGGUAAUGCCCAUAAUUUGUAAGAUUAAUAUAAAGAUAUAAGGCAAGAUAUGCUGAACCACACAUAGGUGUGGGUAUUAGUCUUACCGGGUUAAUUGUAAAAUUAACUAUCGAUUAGGGGUAAGAGGACAACGUAAAAAGCAAAUGCGAUUCUGUAAUGGAAUUGAUAGAGAUUUUUAUCUUAGUUUGAAAAAACGCAGACUUACGUAUGGAUUUUAUAUAUGGAAUGAAUUGUUUUAAGGACAUGGAAAGAAACAAUAUAACAACAAUUAAUUUAGGGGCCAGUACUAGUGGUACGGUCCAGAUUCCUCUUGCAAAUUUUGACCUUAAGGGAUUGGCGUGAUUCGUAGGAUUUACGGAUGCAGAGGGUUCUUUUACUGUAUAUCCAAAAAAAAGAACAUUAGCUUCAGGUGAAGUAAGUAAAUAUAAUGUAGGUUUAAGUUUUCAUAUCUCGUUGCAUAAUAAAGAUAUCGAUAUUGUUAAAGACAUAAGAAAUAAAUUAAAUAAUGUAGGUACUCUUUAUGAGUAUUCAGAUAGAGAUGAAGCAAGGAUAGCCAUUAAUGAUAAAAAGGGAUUAGAGUCAAUAUUUCCAUUAUUCGAAAUAUUUCCUUUAAUUACGACUCAUCAAUUAUUAAGAUAUCUUCUUUUAAAGGAAUUUUUAAUUAAUGAUAUAAAAGAAUUUAAAACUUUGGAGGAAUAUACUGAGACUAAAGAUAAAUUAUUAUUAAAAAUUAAAGAAAAUUUAAAUAAAGUUACUAACGAUUCUAUUUUAUCAAGAGAAAACUUAGAUAGUUGAAUAGUUGGAUUUGUUAAUGGUGAAGGUUGUUUCUAUCUUAAAAAAGAUAAAUUAAAUUUUAUUAUAGAACAUACUGAUAAAUUUGCUCUAGAUUUAAUAAAACAAAGGUUCUCAUUUGGGCCUAAUGUUCUAGAAAGAUCUCCUAGAGCUAGAGACGAGAAUAAACCUCAUAUAAAAAAAACUUAUAUGUUGCAUAUUUCAAGUAAAAAAGAUAUUAAUAAUUUAAUCGAGUUUUUUGAUAGCGAUAAUAUAAUAAAAUUGCAAGGUAAUAAGUUAAUACAAUAUAACGAUUGAAAAAAAAACUUAAUAUAGAUUUAUUUGCUUUAUUCUGUAGCUAAUGUUACUUUAUUAUGUCUUUAAUAUUCCAUUUAUAACGUUUGAGCCGUAUGCGAUGAAAGUCGCACGUACGGUUCUAAGGGGGGGAAAGCUCGCGAGGGCCUACCUAUCCCAACUAGAUACCCUAGUAGUCUUUGCAGAGAAUGAUGAAUGCCAUAGGUUAGGUUUUAAUAACUUGGUCUAUAAAUGAAAGUGUAAGCAUUUCACCUCAAGAGUAAUGUGGCAACGCAGGAACUGAAAUCACUAGACCGUUUCUGACACCAGCAGUGAAGUAUGUUAUUUAAUUCGAUGAUCCACGAAAAACCUUACCACAAUUUGAAUGUUAUUAAUAGUAAUUAAUAAUACAAGUGUUGCACGGCUGUUUUCAGUUAAUGUUGUGAAACUGCGGAUUCGUCCGUGGAAUUAACGAAUACCCUGGCUUUAUUUAUAAUCUAUUAAUAUAGAGCAUUUUCUGAUAUGCUACAA
RNAcentral lists this ribosomal RNA (2301 nucleotides) under fungal sp. Lineage: Eukaryota; Fungi. The record is from RNAcentral.